Molecule: long non-coding RNA, 2665 nt
Filed under: Chiloscyllium punctatum (brownbanded bambooshark)
Lineage: Eukaryota; Metazoa; Chordata; Chondrichthyes; Orectolobiformes; Hemiscylliidae
Description: putative HoxA11 antisense lncRNA isoform1
Source: RNAcentral
CUGACGUUCCCAGCUAACAUGAGCAAUCAGGCGUCCCGAAAAAAAACAGAAGCAAAAAGCCUUGCUUUGUCUGAUCAAAAGUCAGGCUGAGUGUUAGAAAGAGUAAGUUUUCUUUUAACUGUACAUUGAGCGUCAUCCCUACAUGUUGGUCAAAAUCUAGUUUCUUACCCUUUUUACUUAUCUUGAGGAGGGGGGCAGAUUCCCAAUAAUUAUAUUGUAUCUUUGAACGCAGUUUGCCGAUGCUGUUUCGAAGAGAACAGGGUCGUCGUAGCUAUUUCAUAAUCUCCCGAACGAAAGGGGAAGCUGGCGAUUACAUUUCCGAUUAAGUAAAAGGCGAUAACUGAGUGGAGACCUAUUCACUAUCUCCUUCGCUUCGCCAUUUUCUCUCCAUCAGCUUUUCCCAAUUCUCAUCUAUUGGGGGAAUCGCUCUUUUACAGUCACUUUCAAUUACAGAUUCACAGUCUAAUUGAUUCGUGCCGUCAGUUUAAGCCUUGAGCCUAUACUCAUUUCCAAGACUGUGAUCGUGUAAAGCUAAAGAAACGGUUCCAAAAAUUAAAUAGACGUACCUUUCUGGAAUAAGAUCAGGUAAACACUGCAGAGAUUCGACUGCUAUUUGAUGGUGAAUCAAAUAUAAUGUAAAUACUGAAGUUUAAGGGGAUCAGUGAAUUAUUACGGCGCUGUCUAUUUUCCUGCAGGAGUCCAAGUCAACGGGAGGGCUGAGACCCGGAUGAAGCUGAAUUUCUUUACACUGAUGUGCACUUCGAAGCUUUGUCGCGGUUCUUAUCAGCAACGAAAUCGGAUUUGAAACCCUAUUGUUAAAGUUUGAAAAUAAUUUUUAAAAAGCUAGGGCCAAAAAUAAGACUGUGGUCAGACGAAGUCCUCACUCGAGUUAUUUCAGAGCUUUGCACUUUAAAGAUGCAGCGCCUGCUUAACAUUGAACUUCAACUUUGAAAAAAUUCUGCAUCCGUGUAAGAAAUGUACUUUUUUUUAAAAAAAGUUCUAUCGCGCGAAAUGAAAGCUAAAUCAUAAUGUCAAUGGCUUAAAUCAAAUCUUCGGGAGAGACAGAGAGAGGGACAGAGAAAAAGGUAAAUAUUUGGAGGAGCCCUGGCGACAUUUGUGAAGUCGGUCGUGUCAGUAAUUGCAAUGAACCCGCGAGUUAGGUAUAAUCUGUCGCGCAUGGAUUCAUUCAUUUUUAAAUAUCGAGAACCACUGGGUAAAAGUUUGAUAACUAUAUUUGUGGCCAGUAGAUUUUUAUUGUUGCCCUAAAGCUAAUUAAUACGGCAUGGAAACGGCCGGCUAUUGUUGUCCUUUUCCAAAUUUUGCAGGAAUUUCUCUUCCCAGUCGUUUUCCGUUCUCCCCACGAGUUACAUCGCUUGUCAUCUCGCAAACGAAGUCACUUAAUUGCCUGCAACCGCAAAAACACUUUACUAUGCCAAAAGGCAAGUCAAUUUUCUAACUUGGAACGUUUUCAUUCAUUUCUGCCCUAUCAUUUUCCCCAGCAGAUGGGAUAAAUAUUGCAAAUGAGAAGGACAACAUCAUGUAAAGCUGAAAGUGGAUAUAGCCUCAUCCCAGCCUCUACAAGUCCUCUGAAAAAUGCAACUGAAGCUAGUGCUCAGACAGCAACUGCUGCCUUUUGACGGGACUCUUCCACUGUAUUGUAAGACACAGUUAUUCAUUCAUUAAAAAGUAGCUGGUUUUGAAAUCUGCACGGUGAACUGCGAGCAUCGAGAAAUUCGGACAUUUCGGAGAAAGCAUCAUUUUGCAUUCUAAAUCAAUAAUUGUACUAAUAAACCCUUUUCCCGGCGCUGGAUGACGUCGGGUUGGGAUGUUAUUGUAGUGGUUUUCCAAUGAGUUUGUAUUUUUUUAAUUGCCAAAAAAAAAAGGUCGUGACUCUCAAAAUCUAAACUGCAACUUAUUGGCUUCAGCGGAGUUAGUGUCUUUUUAACGAAAAUCCGUGUUUUUGUUUUGUUGUCUGUGGUGGUUUUGCCGCCUCUUCAGUGGCAAUGACAACAGAUAGUGUCGGCCAUUUUUAUGCCUAAUGUUUCGGAAAUUCCGCACAAAGUUCAUUGAAGCGAAAAUACUUCGAAAAACUAGCAUUUUAUUGAGAGAAAAAUACUUACUGUGUAGUAAUAAACAACAUUUAUUCGAGAUUCAAAGAACAUUCCAAGUUUUGAUAGGCACAGCCUCCAGGUGGAUCAUACUUAAAGAUGAAAAACUAAACCACAGUUGUGCGAGAUUGUUCCUUUGUUAAUUUUAUUGAGCCCCAGUAGAUUUAUUAAAAUGCUCCUGUAACAAGAGAUUGUAUAUAAAACAUUGCGAGCUACAACUCAGCAAAAUUAAUAUGUUAAACGUAUUCCUUAUUAUUAUUUUCGCGCCCAAUCAAAAACAGGAAAGUACGAUAAUAGCCUCACAGGAGAAGGAGCAUUUAGUAAGGAGCGGCAAUGAAACUUGAAAGUAAUACACUUUGUAUAUUAUAAGUGAGCACUUUACGCAUUUGAAAAAGCUGUAAGGACAUUCAUUUUAGUCUAAAACGAUAUACUGUACAACGAGUGCUUGAUUGUAUCUGUAGUACAGCGCUCGGAAUGCAUCAAAAUGUUUGCGGUAAAUAUUUACGAUUUAAAUCCGGGUUCAUUUUUAGCUCCUAUAAAAUUUCCUAAUAAAACUA